This 72-nucleotide transfer RNA is filed under the name Lachnospiraceae bacterium. RNAcentral's name for it is "tRNA-Trp". It matches the Rfam family "tRNA". From Rfam's summary of the family: Transfer RNA (tRNA) molecules are approximately 80 nucleotides in length. Their secondary structure includes four short double-helical elements and three loops (D, anti-codon, and T loops). Further hydrogen bonds mediate the characteristic L-shaped molecular structure. tRNAs have two regions of fundamental functional importance: the anti-codon, which is responsible for specific mRNA codon recognition, and the 3' end, to which the tRNAs corresponding amino acid is attached (by aminoacyl-tRNA synthetases). tRNAs cope with the degeneracy of the genetic code in two manners: having more than one tRNA (with a specific anti-codon) for a particular amino acid; and 'wobble' base-pairing, i.e. permitting non-standard base-pairing at the 3rd anti-codon position. The record is from RNAcentral. Lineage: Bacteria; Bacillati; Bacillota; Clostridia; Lachnospirales; Lachnospiraceae.
GUGAGCUUGGUGUUAGUGGUAGCAUAACAGUCUCCAAAACUGAAGGCGUUGGUUCGAUUCCAGCAACUCAUG